Molecule: ribosomal RNA, 472 nt
Filed under: uncultured bacterium
Lineage: Bacteria
Description: bacterial SSU rRNA
Rfam family: Bacterial small subunit ribosomal RNA
Source: RNAcentral
GCAGACCACUCCUACGGGAGGCAGCAGUGGGGAAUAUUGCACAAUGGGCGCAAGCCUGAUGCAGCCAUGCCGCGUGUAUGAAGAAGGCCUUCGGGUUGUAAAGUACUUUCAGCAGUGAGGAAGGUGGAUAUGUUAAUAGCAUAUUCAUUUGACGUUAGCUGCAGAAGAAGCACCGGCUAACUCCGUGCCAGCAGCCGCGGUAAUACGGAGGGUGCGAGCGUUAAUCGGAAUUACUGGGCGUAAAGCGCAUGCAGGUGGUUUGUUAAGUCAGAUGUGAAAGCCCGGGGCUCAACCUCGGAAUUGCAUUUGAAACUGGCAAACUAGAGUACUGUAGAGGGGGUAGAAUUUCAGGUGUAGCGGUGAAAUGCGUAGAGAUCUGAAGGAAUACCGGUGGCGAAGGCGGCCCCCUGGACAGAUACUGACACUCAGAUGCGAAAGCGUGGGGAGCAAACAGGAUUAGAUCCCCUGGUAG